UACGAAGGGUGCAAGCGUUAAUCGGAAUUACUGGGCGUAAGGCGUGCGCAGGCGGUUUUGCAAGACAGAUGUGAAAUCCCCGGGCUUAACCUGGGAACUGCAUUUGUGACUGCAAGGCUAGAGUGUGUCAGAGGGAGGUGGAAUUCCGCGUGUAGCAGUGAAAUGCGUAGAGAUGCGGAGGAACACCGAUGGCGAAGGCAGCCUCCUGGGAUAACACUGACGCUCAUGCACGAAAGCGUGGGGGAGCAAACAGG
This 254-nucleotide ribosomal RNA is filed under the name uncultured bacterium. RNAcentral describes it as "partial 16S ribosomal RNA". It matches the Rfam family "Bacterial small subunit ribosomal RNA", at positions 524 to 776 of the family's 1533-position model. The record is from RNAcentral.